RNAcentral lists this long non-coding RNA (2464 nucleotides) under Homo sapiens (human). Its description in RNAcentral is "non-protein coding lnc-GPATCH4-1:6". The record is from RNAcentral. Lineage: Eukaryota; Metazoa; Chordata; Mammalia; Primates; Hominidae.
GAAGAUGGCGGCGCACAAGUCAGGUCCGGCACAUGUUUCCGCGGAGCGGACCCAGCAAUGACGGAUGAUAUCACCUCUUCUUCUCUGGUGAGAGUCUGAGGAUAGAGACUUUUUUCUCACCAUGAAUGUCACCCCAGAGGUCAAGAGUCGUGGGAUGAAGUUUGCUGAGGAGCAGCUGCUAAAGCAUGGAUGGACUCAAGGUAGGACAUGACCCUGCCAAGGAGUUCACAAACCACUGGUGGAAUGAGCUCUUCAACAAGACUGCGGCCAACUUGGUAGUGGAAACUGGGCAGGAUGGAGUACAGAUAAGGAGCCUUUCUAAGGAGACCACCCGUUAUAAUCAUCCCAAGCCCAACUUGCUGUAUCAGAAGUUUGUGAAGGUAUUAGAGGCUGUGGGUAACAGAGUCCAUCCUUUUUCUCUUCCCUGGUUUCCCUGGGGCCUGAACAGUUGCCUUGUAUGCCUUAUCAAUUCUCAGAACUUUCCUAACAUAGUGGGAUCCUGUGACCAGCCUUGCUGUUGCUUACUUAGACUGCCCAGACCCUCAGCAGGAAUUGAGAUCUUCAGGUUCCGUGGAUCCUGCCAUCUGUUAAGGGAGCAGCAAUAGGGCGUGGGAGGUAGGGUACAGUCUCUUAAGUCAGGAGCUGCCAAAUUUUGGGGGGGCCAGGGGACAUCUAAUUCAAAGGACUUAGAAGCCAGAGGAGACCUGAGAGAUUAUCUGGACCAUCCCUGCUUUGCAGAUGUGGCUAAAAGGGUGAAAAGUGGUUUGCUGAAGAGCCCACAGCUGGCUAGUAAUGGCAAACAGGACUGGAACCCAGGACUUCAGGCCUCCACUUUCUACUGUACCAAUAGGAGGAAGCUAACAUGUAAUGGUCAUUAUGUGCUAAGGGCUAUACAUGUUACCUAGCAAAUCUUUCCCAUUUCUCUACAUCUCUGUUACCAUCUACUACCCCACUUCGGGCCAUCAUCAUCUCUUGCCUAAUUUCUUUCUCCAGCAGCCUCCUAAGAACACCUGUAGUCUCACUCCCCACCCCAACCUUUGUGGAGGAUGGACUUCUCCACAAAGCAUCCAGUGUUCUCUCUAAAACAUAAAUGUCAUCAUGUCACUGGGUCUUGUUUGACCUAGGAUGACACAAUCCAGAUUUAUCGGACUGGCUUAUAUGGCUCUGCAUGCCUGUUCCUGCCAUCUCCAGCCUCAUCUCUUCACUUUUCUCCAGGACCACUACUUUAGCCUAACCAUUAGCAUAACAGAUUCCAAUCUGUUUCUUUUCUUUGAAGGUACGACAGUCUUCCAUCUUCAGGUUAUUGCACAUGUUGCUCCCUCUGCUUGGGACAUUCUUCUCCCUUUCCCCCUUUACCUUCUGAGUUUCUCUUAUCCUCCAGAGCUCAGCUUAUACAUCAGUUACUUUUAGAAGCCAUUCUCUGAAGUCUGAGUUGAGUACCCUUCCUCUAUCACAGGCAACACUUCCAUCAUAAUUGCCUAUGUAGAUUCCAUCUGGGCUGGGCCCAUCUCAUUCUUAUUCCACUCUGAAUCCCCAACUCCUUGGCCCAUAGUAGACUCUCAAUUAAUCUGAUUAAAUGAAGGUACUGUGAACAGGUACUAUGGUCGGGGUGGAGCGGGGCAUCUUUACUGUCAGUCACUGGCACUUGUCCACUGUGAAGACCUGAUGAACCAGAGCAUUUCCUCUUCUUGUUCUGCUCACCAGCCAGCUGUGGGUGAGAGAGGCCAAAGCUGCUGCACAUCCCAGCAGCAGCAGCCCAUCUCCUAUCCAAGUUCGAGUAUGCAGGAUGGCACACCUCCCUGUGGCUCCUCAAGGAGCAAUGGUGGGGGCUGGCAAACCACUGCCUGGAGCUAUAAAUUCUUAGGGGGCUUCCACAAGGGAAUAGGGAUGGUGAUGGUGUUGAGAAGGCCUUAUCUACCCCCAUGACCCCUCCUAGAUGGCUACAUUGACUUCAGGUGGAGAGAAGCCAAACAAAGACUUGGAGAGCUGCAGUGAUGACGACAACCAGGGGUCCAAGUCCCCAAAGAUGUGAGACUUCAUUUUAGCUCUUGGGGAAUGUGGGAAGAGAUGUCUUCAGAUGGCAAGAGAAAGGGCUAAAUCUAAUGCUUGACUGGGGGCUUCUUGGGGGUGGGUGGAACUGUGUUGUACUAAUCUUUGUAUCCCUAGUACCUCAAAAAGUGCCAGGUCCUGAACAAGAAUUCAGUGUUGAAGGAAUGUUUUAGAAGGAGGAGAGGUCAAGCCUUUCCACCAGGUCUGUUUGUAACUGCUGAUCUCCCCUAACAGUCUGACUGAUGAGAUGCUGCUCCAAGCCUGUGAGGGGCGAACAGCACACAAGGCUGCCCGUCUUGGGAUCACAAUGAAGGCCAAGCUUGCUCGCCUAGAGGCCCAGGAGCAGGCCUUCCUGGCUCGUCUCAAAGGCCAGGACCCUGGGGCCCCUCAACUGCAGUCAGAGAGCAAGCCCCCC